RNAcentral lists this ribosomal RNA (466 nucleotides) under uncultured bacterium. RNAcentral's name for it is "partial 16S ribosomal RNA". It matches the Rfam family "Bacterial small subunit ribosomal RNA", at positions 28 to 507 of the family's 1533-position model. The record is from RNAcentral.
GAUGAACGCUGGCGGCGUGCUUAACACAUGCAAGUCGAACGAUGAAGCCCAGCUUGCUGGGUGGAUUAGUGGCGAACGGGUGAGUAACACGUGAGUAACCUGCCCUUAACUCUGGGAUAAGCCUGGGAAACUGGGGCUAAUACCGGAUAGGAGCGUCCACCGCAUGGUGGGGGUUGGAAAGAUUUAUCGGUUUUGGAUGGACUCGCGGCCUAUCAGCUUGUUGGUGAGGUAAUGGCUCACCAAGGCGACGACGGGUAGCCGGCCUGAGAGGGUGACCGGCCACACUGGGACUGAGACACGGCCCAGACUCCUACGGGAGGCAGCAGUGGGGAAUAUUGCACAAUGGGCGCAAGCCUGAUGCAGCGACGCCGCGUGAGGGAUGACGGCCUUCGGGUUGUAAACCUCUUUCAGUAGGGAAGAAGCGAAAGUGACGGUACCUGCAGAAGAAGCACCGGCUAACUACGCG